Molecule: long non-coding RNA, 436 nt
Filed under: Nicotiana benthamiana
Lineage: Eukaryota; Viridiplantae; Streptophyta; Magnoliopsida; Solanales; Solanaceae
Description: long non-coding RNA (NBEN_LNC031030)
Source: RNAcentral
CAAUACUCAAAUCCAUCCUAACCUAAAAAUCUAUACACGCAAUACAUAUGCACACGAUAAAAACAGAAGAAAAGGGCCUGGAAAUGGGGAGGGCAACAGCGCAGCUGCGCAGAACAAAGACCCCACCCCACUUCGUCUUCUUCUCCGGCAACAACCCACACCAGCUCCCUCGAAGACCACCAUCCUGCUCACCUCCAAACGACCCCUGAACCUCUGCGACCAGCCCUUCUCCAAAUAGCCAGCGACCACCAGCUGCUAUUUUUAGUCCAAACGAGCGCAGCUGGGCUUCUUCUUGACAAAGCUCGCUGAUACAUACACAUAUACGCUGAUACACACACCUAUACAUGCAUAUAUAUAGAACACGAUACACGCCUGGAAAAUUAAAAAAGGGGGCGUAGCUGAGGAGCUGAAGGACAGACACCCCCCCCCCCCCCNN